This 458-nucleotide ribosomal RNA is filed under the name uncultured bacterium. RNAcentral's name for it is "partial 16S ribosomal RNA". It matches the Rfam family "Bacterial small subunit ribosomal RNA", at positions 338 to 795 of the family's 1533-position model. The record is from RNAcentral.
CCUACGUGAGGCAGCAGUGAGGAAUAUUGGUCAAUGGGCGUAAGCCUGAACCAGCCAAGUCGCGUGAGGGAUGAAGGUUCUAUGGAUCGUAAACCUCUUUUAUAAGGGAAUAAAUUGUGACGUGUCCUUUUUUGUAUGUACCUUAUGAAUAAGUAUCGGCUAACUCCGUGCCAGCAGCCGCGGUAAUACGGAGGAUCCGAGCGUUGUCCGGAUUUAUUGGGUUUAAAGGGUGCGUAGGCGGCCUUUUAAGUCAGCGGUGAAAGUCUGUGGCUCAACCAUAGAAUUUCCGUUGAAACUGGGAGGCUUGAGUAUGUUAGAGGAAGGCGGAAUGCGUGGUGUAGCGGUGAAAUGCUUAGAUAUCACGCAGAACCCCGAUUGCGAAGGCAGCAUGCCAGGCCAUGACUGACGCUGAUGCACGAAAGCGUGGGGAUCAAACAGGAUUAGAUACCCCGGUAGUC